AAGUUCUGAGGGAAAUUAUUAAUACACACACACACACACACACACACACACACACACACACACACACACACACACACACACACACACACACACACACACACACACACACACACACACACGGAGAGAGUCCUGUUUCACUUCUACGUGGGGACUCACCAUUCACAUAAUGCCUUCCUUAGCCCCUUACUCUACCCCUAACCAUCAUCAACCCAUCAACUAAAGGCAGACGUCUAAUUUUGCUCUAAUCUGAACCAAAACUCAAGUUUGACCUCAGCCCUAAAAUCACAUCUUGAUUUACAGAAAAGCCUUUGGACUGGUGGGUUGUCGCAGUGUCCUCACCUUGAUAGCAAAACAUGGUUUAUGGUCCCCACAUUGAAGGAGAAACAUGCACCGAUGAAAAUACAUGAUUAACGCAGAGGUUUUAAUAAUCAUUUUGGCUGCAGGUAGUAACCGAGAUAAAAGCCCCAAAAGAUUCACACCAUUAAAGGAAGUUUGAUGUGACCUUCUGCCAUGUUUUAGUAAUUUUUCACUUCAUGUCAAUGCUUACGCUGAAUCCGUGCACGGACACUGAACGCCUCGGUUCCCGUGCGUUGGAGCUUAAAGUACUGUACGUGGUGUGUGUGUGUGUGUGUGUGUGUGUGUGUGAACGUCUUGUACUGUAUGUGCAUGCUGUACAUUUCUUUGUGUGAUAUCAGAUCACUUGAUCCUGCCCUCCAUUUGCAUGUUGCAUAUUUACUGCCUGUGUGCAGUGAGCGCGUAUAUGUGUGUGCUUUCAGGAUUGACCCAAACGGACCCGUCACAAAGUCUGUCACCACCCAGUCACCAUGGCGCCCAACUUGGCCGAGACCCGACGGCGGCAGGGAGCACCUUGUCACCGUGGGGAACAGAAACAGCAGCAGGGGGAGAAUUCCCAUGUUGCUGGAGGUGAUGCUGCAGACAAGCCACCAAUCACAGACGGACAAAGACGGAUCCUCCUGGCUGCCUUACAGGACAUCAGUCAAACCCAGCUUUGUUAGCGCCGCAUUCCUCUGCAUUCACUUCAUCAACCAGUCCUGCUCGGGCUCCUCCGUCAAGCAGCGCUCGUGACACCUUGAAUUUUUUCUCUGCGCGCUUUUGAUACUGAAAAUGGCUCAUGAGGUGAUUGUUGACUGCUUGAAUGAUGCUUCUUGUGUUUUUGGUGGCGGCCACCUUUGUGCGGGUCCUGUCAUGUUAUCACAGCGUUUUAAUUAAAAAGAAGGGGACGUACAGACAGACAGGGACACAAUGACGGAUCCCCAGGCUGCUUUACAGGACGCUGCUCAAACAAAGCUCCGGCGGAGCUGCGUGACUUCGCUUUGUCUGUCUGACGACAAUUCUCUGACUCCAACGAUUCUAACUAUGCCUCUGUCGUUGAGACGCACGACACUGUGAGGUGUCAGACACGUAAUUGACGAAAACACUUUUUUUCUACCUGUCACUGUCCUCCAACACACAUGACUUAACAUUUUGCUCUCGAGGCCUUUGCGCACAUUGUUAGAGAUGCACAGGAACAAGGUGUAAAAGUUUCCUCCCCUCCACUAAGCUGUCAGAGGAGAAACACACAGGCAAGAACAAGAUGACAAACUUUCUAAGCUGUUGUUUUUGGUGGCAGACAGGCUGCGUGUGUGUGUGUGUGUGUGUGCGUCUCAGCUGAGAUGGGAAUGUCAGCACAGGACCAGCCCCCUGCUGCUGGACACCAGUCGGGGGUCCGCCUCCCGUGGGACGCGCCCGAUAAGCGCUGUGAAUGUGUGUGUGCUGUGUGUGUGUGACCCAUGCGUGUGCAUCAUAAAUAUGUGCGCGCCUACGUGAGCGCCGGGGGCCGGCGUCUGGGCCGCCUCGGACGGGGGAAGGGAGGUGAGCGCGGUGACAGCCUCAGCUGUGUUGAAUUGUGGGAGAAAAAGAGCUGACGCGACGGGAGCUGAUGUCUGACAUGACCCCUCUCAGCGGGCGCGCGGCGGGGAGCUGGGAGCGGGAGCCGCCGCUGGCCGAGCGCGGCUGUGUGCGCGCGUGUGUGUGUGUGUGUGUGUGUGCGCGCGCGAGGUGGGAAAGUGAAGGGGAAGGACGGUGAGAGGCAAGAACGCGGCGGGGCUUUUUCUUUGGCCGCAUCGCAGCGACGUUGAUAGCGGAGUCUGUGAAACGGCGCCUUGAUGGACGUGACGCCGCACUUUUCCUGCUGUAAACCAAUCCCCUCCACGCCUUGCCGGCCAUUUUCCCUGCCUCCAUAUCAUAUACCUCUCCUUGACCUUCUCGCUCUUUGUUGGUGUCCCUGUGCUCCCUCAUUCCUGCUUUUUCUUCCCGGCUCCGUCCCUCCUGACGGUGCAUUCAGGCCGGUAAAGUGAUCUUGGGGGCGCGGAGCUCGUUGGCCUUCAUUAUUCCCCAAUCACUCCUGCCAUCUUUUGCUCUUUACACUUUCUCGUCUCAUCUCUGUUUGCAUCAUUCCCGAAUUCUUUCAUUCCUCAUCCUUCUACACACACACACACACACACACACACACACACACACACACACACACACACACACACACACACACACACACACACACACCUUCACCCUCUCUUUUCACUGUCUCUCCUUUCUGGGUCUGUUGCUUUGCCAUCAGUCUCUGAUAAGUGCCCACAAAGCCCCCACUGUCUAAUGUGACCCUUUAUUCUUCCCCCAUCCUCUCUCUCUCUCUUUCUCCCUCUCUCUCUCUCUCUCUGUCUCCUUUUUUCCUCCAUCCUGGAGCAGCCAAGCGUGAGGUAAAGAGUGGGGGCCGUUUGUCUUAUACACACACCCAAACUUGUUUUACCUUCAUCCCCUGUUCCCUUCACUUUUCUCUCCUCAUCAUCCUUUCCCAUACUCUGUUUUUAACUUGUCCAACUUUCUUUUGUUCCUCAUCCUCGUCCUGUCUCUCUGUCCUCUAACUUUUCUCGGCCUGCAGGGAAACCUUGCCCUGCUUCUCUCAGGAUGCUGGUGUUUCUCAAAUGGGACCGGGGCUCAGAUCUAACACAUUUAUCCAGAAUAAAAUGUUAGUCUGAGACA
This 3039-nucleotide long non-coding RNA is filed under the name Betta splendens (Siamese fighting fish). RNAcentral describes it as "lncRNA (ENSBSLG00000007255.1)". The record is from RNAcentral. Lineage: Eukaryota; Metazoa; Chordata; Actinopteri; Anabantiformes; Osphronemidae.